Ostrea edulis (European flat oyster) is the source of this 9012-nucleotide long non-coding RNA. RefSeq lists it as uncharacterized. The record is from RefSeq and is a predicted model, not a curated record. The transcript is spliced from 3 exons. NCBI's taxonomy places the organism in Eukaryota, Metazoa, Mollusca, Bivalvia, Ostreida, Ostreidae.
GGGUACGAGUUCUCCUGAUACCGAAGUAAGUACCCUCUGCGCACGGAGAAGCAACACAAAACGUCUGAUCACAACGAAACAAAUCGACGACUAAGUAUGCGCAGACUAUACUGGAAUUAAAUUGUAAGGUUUUAUUUGUCGACCCUAAGCCCGCAUUAGUAUGCGCAGACUAUACUGGAAUGAAAUAGCCGUGUUUCGAGUUACUCCGGAACACAGUGUUUAUUCUGUGUUUAGUCACGCCGCGUCAAAAAUGUUCCACAGGGUUACUUCCGGUUUAUCGCUCUGUUUACCAACAGUCGACACUUCGUGUAUUAGGCCUAGGGUUAAUUUUGUCGAUCAUCAUGAAAUUGAAAUACACAUUUAAUAGUUUGGGGUGUAUGCGGUACAUAUUUGUUUAUGAGCGUUUGAUAAGCUACUAUUGAUCUACGAAAUACAACGAAAGACUUCGUCAAGAACAGAAGAAGACGAUGCAUGUCGUGUAACUCACACAAGGCCCAGCUGUCUAGUAACCGGUGGGGUAAAGGAAAAGAACGUAUUAGACUCACUGAAACCUGUCAAACAGGUAUAUGGGAACAGGAUCAUUUUCCAUGCCUUUCACUUGAGGUCUUCAGUUUCAUCAUUAAUCAUCUGAAUGUCGGUAUGCCAAACUCUCAUGAUGUCAUGCCAUUACUGGAUAUUCCUUAACACUGGUUUAUUUAAGCCACACUACCUAUAACAUUGCCAAAAUAUUAGACUGAAAAUUUUCAAAUACACAAGAUUUGAAGCAGCAAAAGAAAAGAAUUACAUAUGUAUAACACACAAAAAAGAAAUUAAUUCUCACCUGGCUGAUAUGAACUUUUUACUCCUUUUUAGCUCCCUUUCACUGCAUACCAGCCAAUAACUAGCAGUCAUUAUAUGCAGAUCAGCCAUUGUUAUCAACCUGUGUAUAUAUAUGUUGAAUGAAAUAUGAAUGAAAAUUGUUGUUCUUUGUUAUUCUUUUUAAAAUAUAUAUAUACUCAAUAGUAUAUUUCCUUACACAGUACUGAUUCAAAGGGGUAGGAGAGCAAAUACAUAAUAUAUAACCUGGCUCAUGUUCAGCUGGUUCCAUUCUUGUAUAUAAGUGGUUUGAGUGGAAAUGUACAUAUCUGAUGUACAUGUACAUGCAAAGUACCUUGAUUGCACAGGCAAUAUGCAUCACUUGUGUUCGAAUUUACUAUUAAAGAGUACCCCAAGCGAUGCAUAUUGCCUGUGCUUGAUUGGUAUUAAAAGUUGGAGAAAAGAUCAAUGUUCUUUGAUAUAAUUCAAAAUUUUGCAGUGAAUGAACCAUCGGUAUGGAGCUUGAAUAAAUGACCAUGCAAAUCCUAGUAUAGAUCCGUAGGGAUAUAUUAUCUGGUGUUCUCAUAUUUUAUUUAAUUGGCAGAUAUAUAUACCCCCCCCCCCUCUCAUCCCUUGUGAAAUUGCUUCGUAAUUUUUAUGAGCCUGAACCAUAAGUUCAUAAUUGAAAUUCUCUAUUUAAUGUCACAUGAACACCGUUGUAAAAUACAUACACUGCUCAGAUGUGGAUGAGGGUACAAGUAUACCUAUUCUUAAGAUUUACAAGAUUUUGCACAGUCUAUAUUAUAUUUUUAAGAGUCAAUACAAACCUCUUGGUUUUCCUAAAAGUUAAUAUAAGGAAACUGGCUAGAACAAUGAUGUUUCUUUGUUGGUUCAGCUUUCACGGAAUGUAAUAUUCGCACUCAAUUUCGGCUGCUCGUGGUUUUCUACACAAAUGACGCCACCGUUUCCUCUGCGUGAACGCUUUUCCCGGGUUUGGGAAAAGGCAAACUUUGACAUCUUCCCAAGUAAAUAUAUAUCCCUUGCUAUCCUUUAUCUGAUUUGCGACAGUUUGUGCCGCAAAAUCUAUAUUUUGUCAAAAACAAUUUUGUUACCAGUGUAAACAAAAUUAACCGGAAGUACCCCUGUGGAACAUUUUGCUCAUAUCACGUGACCGGCGUGGCUAAAUACGAAAAAUCCCGAGUGCUCCGGAGGAACUCGAAACACGGCUAUUCACAGACAACGGUGCAAAUGCUACAGAAAGUGGAAAUACAAGUGUUCUACUAACAGACAUGCUAAAUUGUGACAAUUCUGAGGAAACAGACGAGUUUGUCAACUUAUUUACUCCCCAACCCAUGAGUUUCCGUGAGUACUUCUUACGAUAUGAACUACAACAUGUCUCUCAAUCAAGCUGUGUUCGAUUCACAAUCCAUUCCUAUCAACGAUAGGAUUUUGAAUCAAACAGAUAUUGAAUACCUAGAUGAACAGCUUAAAAACUUACCAAAACAAAUAUACAUAGGGAAGCUUACCGAUUUGUGUUCUAACAAUGAAAGCAUGAUAUGCUGGUAUCGGGACAUACUAUGCACAUGAGCGAAAAGUCAAAGGGGUUGUCCACGGGGUAAUCUUAUUAACAGACUAGUUCUAAUUGUAACGGGGACCGUUACAGAUGUUCCCCAAACCUCCCCCAAUUAAAAAGUGAUGUCCUUGUGAAUAUAUAGGAAAAACCCAUUUUAUUUUAGCCUUUAAUUACAUGUAGUACGUUCAAUAUGGUCAUUUCAGUACCAACAAAUGAAAGAAAGCGUUGCACGUGCAUACACGCGCACGCGUGUAUGAUUCCGAAUUUUUGUUGAUGUCGUUCAACAGGCAUUUGUAUCAUAUACCCACAGUAUGAAUUUCAUAACGUUUCCAACAAAUAUAAGGAAGUUAUAGCGAUUUUAAAAUCGUCCAAUCAGAAAUCAGCACACGUGCAUGCACGUGAUGAACAGUAAUUCUAACCACAGCAAUUUGUAAGGAGUACCAAGACACAUCAAAACCCCUAAUAUCAAUAGAAUUUGAAGAAAAACAAAAACGUUGUCGUCCUUUAAAAAUUGAACAUUUAAAAAACGUUGCACGCGCAUGCGCGUGUGCGUUGGCAUUUUUUUGUUACACCAAUAUGUCGAUACACAUAUUGUCUACCUAUGCUGUGAAUAUCAUCUCAUUCGCUUCAUAAGUAAGAUAGUUACAAACGUUUGAGUAUUAUCCAAUCAAAAUGAAGCGCACGUGCAUGCGCGUGCAAAUUGGUAAUUUUGACCAUGCAAAUCAGUUAAGGGUCUCAAUAUCUACCUACGAUAUAAAUUUCAAGCCAUUUCAAUGAACAACAAAAAAGUUAGACUGAUUCCAAAGUUAGUGUACAAAUUUUGUAAUGCGCGUGCACGCGCAUGCGUGCGCGUGCUGACAAAAUAACUAUUAUUUUUCAUAUGUACAAAUGAUAUACUAUCAUCCUAUUUAGGUUUUAUAUCGAUUCCUUCAAUAUUCUGAUUUUCCAUUUUUUGUACCAAAAUUGCAAUGCACGUGCGCGCGCGUGCAUGCACGUGAAGACAAAAUGACUAUCACUAUGCACAUCUACAAACGCUAUACUAUCAUCCUGGAAAGUUUCAUAUCGAUCCCUUUUGUAGUUUCUGAGAACACUACCGGACAAAAAAGUACCGGAGAAAAAGAAUAAUAACUAGUUCUAAUUGUAACGGGGACCGUUACAUAUGUUCCCCAAACCUCCCCCAAUUAAAAAGUGAUGUCCUUUUAAAUCUAUAGCAAAAAAUCAUUUUAUUUUAGUCUUUAAUUACAUGUAGUACAUUCAAUAUGGUCAUUUCAGUACCAAGAAAUGAAAGAAAGUGUUGCACGUGCAUACACGCGCACGCGUGUACGAUUCCGAAUUUUUGUUGAUGUCGUUCAACAGGCAUUUGUAUCAUAUACCCACAGUAUGAAUUUCAUAACGUUUCCACCAAAUAUAAGAAAGUUAUAGCGAUUUUAAAAUCGUCCAAUCAGAAUUCAGCACACGUGCAUACACGUGCUUAGCAGUAAUUCUAACCACAGCAAUUUGUAAGGAGUACCAAGACACAUCUAAACCAUUAAUAUCAAUAGAAUUUGAUGAAAAACAAAAACCUUAUCGUCCUUUAAAAAUUGAACAUUUAAAAAACGUUGCACGCGCAUGCGCGUGUACGUUGGCAUUUUUUUAUUACACCAAUAUAUAGAUACACAUAUUGUCUACUUAUGCUGUGAAUAUCAUCUCAUUCGCUUCAUAAAUAAGAUAGUUACAAACAUUUUAGUAUUAUCCAAUCAAAAUGAAGCGCACGUGCAUGCGCGUGCAAAUUGGUAAUUUUGACUAUGUAAAUCAGUUAAGGGUCUCAAUAUCUACCUAUGAUAUGAAUUUCAAGCCAUUUCAAUGAACAACAAAAAAGUUAGACUGAUUCCAAAGUUAGUGUACAAAUUUUGGAAUGCGCGUGCACGCGCAUGCGUGCGCGUGCUGACAAAAUAACUAUUAUUUUUCAUAUGUACAAAUGAUAUACUAUCAUCCUAUUUAGGUUUUAUAUCGCUUCCUUCAAUAUUCUGAUUUUCCAUUUUUUGUACCAAAAUUGCAAUGCACGUGCGCGCGCGUGCAUGCACGUGCAAACAAAAUGACUAUCACUAUGCACAUCUACAAACGCUAUACUAUCAUCCUGGAAAGUUUCAUAUCGAUCCCUUUUGUAGUUUCUGAGAACACUACCGGACAAAAAAGUACCGGAGAAAAAGAAUAAUAAUAAUAAUAAUAAUAAUAAUAAUAAGAAACAGAGUAAAAACAAUAUGUUCCCAAACUUUGUUUGGGGAACAUAAUAAUAACUAGACACGAUCUCGUUCCGAGCAACGAGUAGGUCUUCCGUCCGAUUUGUUGAUGCACUCGGAGUUAAAAAAAAAAAGAAAAGACAAAUGAGUCCCAAUUUAGUUUCCGACUUUAAGACACUUUAGAUAUAAUCAAUUUUUCAUAUCAUAAGCUUCUGAAGCAAAGUUGCGGUGAAAUUCGUUUGAAAUUCGACUCUCCAGGCGAGCCAUAAGGCCCGCGGGCCUAUUUCUUGAUGUCAUUUGUUAGCCCUCUAUAGACUCAACAACUUUAGUUCUAUAUGUACUUUACAAAAUAUUUACCUGUAAAAAGUUAUUGAGAUCGACCGAUAUCGACAAAAAAUCGACUCUACAGGCGAGACAUUAGGACCAUAGGCCUAUUUCUUGAUAUCAAUCGAUAGAUCUCGAUAAACUGAACAACUUUUGUUCAAUAUGUCCUUACAAAAUAUUUACCAGUUACAAGGUUUUGAAAUCGACUGAUAUCGACAAAAAUCGACUCUACAGGCGAGCCAUGAGGCCCACAGACCCAUUUUGAAAUAUUGAUCGAUAGGUUAUGACACAUUGAACAACUUUUGUUCAAUAAUGCUUUUCAAAAAAUAUGUCGUUUUAAAGAUAUGAGGCGUCAAAUAUUUACGAUUUUGGCCCUUAAAAUCUCUAAUUACGUAACAUAUGACCUACUUUUUGAUUUGAUAAGAUCAAGCUCGUUGAGAUGAACAUUUCCGCUUCUACAACUUAUUAUAAAAUAUUAAUAGUUUCUGAGAUAUUCUCAAAAACAUUUGGACCCUUCUGAACCCCUAAUUUAAAGGGCCAGCCCGUUUUGCUUGAUAUUGUAAGAAAGGCCUUGUCAUUUUAAACAUUUUUUGCUCAACAAGUAUUUAGAAAUUCUUUACCGUUCUCGAGUUAUCUCUACAAGAAAUAUUUAGGGGCCAAACUGUAGCUCCCUAACGGGGCCACAUAGGGAAAAAACGAAAUGUACAUAUUGUUUAGAUUAUCAUUCUGAACAACUUUUGUUCAAUAAUGCUUUUCAAAAUAUUUGUCGUUUUCAAGAUAUGAGGCGUCAAUUAUUUAUGAUUUUGGUCCUUAAAAUCCCUUAUUACGUAACAUAUGACCUACUUUUUGAUUUGAUAAGAACAAGCUCGUUUAGAUGAACAUUUCCGCUUCAAUGACUUAUUACAAAAUAUUAAUAGUUUCUGAGAUAUUCUCAUAAACCUUUGGACCCUUCUGGGCCCCUAAUUUAAAGGGUCAGCCCCUUUUGCUUGAUAUCGUAAGAAAGGUCAUGACAUUUCAAACAUUUUUUGUUCAACAAGUAUUUAGAAAUUCUUUACCGUUCUCGAGUUAUUUCUAGAAGUAAUGUUUAGGGGCCAAACUGUAGCUCCCUAACGGGGCCACAUAGGGUAAAAACGAAAUAUGCAUAUUGUUCAGAUCAUCAUUCUGAACAACUUUUGUUCUUUAUUGCUUUUCAAAAUAUUUGUCGUUUUCGAGAUAAAAGGGGUCAAAAAUUGAUGGUUUUGGCCCUUAAAAUCCCUUAUUACGUAACAUAUGACCUCAAUUUUUAUAUGAAUAGAUUUGGAUUGUUGAGAUGAACAUUUUUUGUUCUUUGACUUAUACCAAAAUAUUAACGAUUUUUGAGAUAUUUGAUCUAGACUUUGAGCCCUUCUAGAUCCCUAAUUGAAGGGGCUAGCCCCUAAAUCUUGAUAUUUUCGAAAAGAUCUCGUAAAUGUGCACAACUUUUGUUCAACAUGUCUUAACAAAAUAUUUGCAAGAAAAAAGAUAUUAGAGAUCAAAGGUCAAAAAUCGCCGAAAUGGGCGAAAAAUUUUGGCAUCCAUUUUUUCAGGUCCAGGCGAGCGUUUAGGCAAAUCGCCUCCGGUAAAAUCGAAUUCCCCACAAAUCUUCUAAAAUGUUUACUCUAUCUUGUGUAGAAAUUUCAAGACUCUAGCUUCAAAACUAACGGAGGAGAUGCGUGGACAACAAGGCCCUUCAAAAAGUCACUAAAAGAGAGAUAACUCCUGACCGGAAGUGACGUCAAGCACGAAAUUUUGCAAGCAAAGUCUCGUCAUCAAAAGACAUCUUUCCUGACAAUUUCGUGAAAAUCGAUCGAGAAAUGGCUGAGAAAAACGCGUGUACUACCAAGGAAAAUAAUAAUAAUAAUAAUAACUAGACACGAUCUCGUUGCGAGCAACGAGUAGGUCUUCCGUCCGAUUUGUUGAUGCAUUCGGAGUUAAAAAAAACAAAAAAAGACAAAUGAGUCCCAAUUUAGUUUCCGACUUUAAGACACUUUAGAUAUAAUCAAUUUUUCAUAUCAUAAGCUUCUGAAGCAAAGUUGCGGUGAAAUUCGUUUGAAAUUCGACUCUCCAGGCGAGCCAUAAGGCCCGCGGGCCUAUUUCUUGAUGUCAUUUGUUAGCCCUCUAUAGACUCAACAACUUUAGUUCUAUAUGUCUUUACAAAAUAUUUACCUGUAAAAAGUUAUUGAGAUCGACCGAUAUUGACAAAAAAUCGACUCUACAGGCGAGCCAUUAGGACCAUAGGCCUAUUUCUUGAUAUCAAUCGAUAGAUCUCGAUAAACUGAACAACUUUUGUUCAAUAUGUCCUUACAAAAUAUUUACCAGUUACAAGGUUUUGAAAUCGACUGAUAUCGACAAAAAUCGACUCUACAGGCGAGCCAUGAGGCCCACAGACCCAUUUUUUGAUAUUGAUCGAUAGGUUAUGACACAUUGAACAACUUUUGUUCAAUAAUGCUUUUCAAAAAAUAUGUCGUUUUAAAGAUAUGAGGCGUCAAAUAUUUUACGAUUUUGGCCCUUAAAAUCUCUAAUUACGUAACAUAUGACCUACUUUUUGAUUUGAUAAGAUCAAGCUCGUUGAGAUGAACAUUUCCGCUUCUACAACUUAUUAUAAAAUAUUAAUAGUUUCUGAGAUAUUUUCAAAAACAUUUGGACCCUUCUGAACCCCUAAUUUAAAGGGCCAGCCCGUUUUGCUUGAUAUCGUAAGAAAGGCCUUGUCAUUUUAAACAUUUUUUGCUCAACAAGUAUUUAGAAAUUCUUUACCGUUCUCGAGUUAUCUCUACAAGAAAUAUUUAGGGGCCAAACUGUAGCUCCCUAACGGGGCCACAUAGGGAAAAAACGAAAUGUACAUAUUGUUUAGAUUAUCAUUCUGAACAACUUUUGUUCAAUAAUGCUUUUCAAAAUAUUUGUCGUUUUCAAGAUAUGAGGCGUCAAUUAUUUAUGAUUUUGGCCCUUAAAAUCCCUUAUCACGUAACAUAUGACCUACUUUUUGAUUUGAUAAGAACAAGCUCGUUUAGAUGAACAUUUCCGCUUCAAUGACUUAUUACAAAAUAUUAAUAGUUUCUGAGAUAUUCUCAUAAACCUUUGGACCCUUCUGGGCCCCUAAUUUAAAGGGUCAGCCCCUUUUGCUUGAUAUCGUAAGAAAGGUCAUGACAUUUCAAACAUUUUUUGUUCAACAAAUAUUUAGAAAUUCUUUACCGUUCUCGAGUUAUUUCUAGAAGUAAUUUUUAGGGGCCAAACUGUAGCUCCCUAACGGGGCCACAUAGGGUAAAAACGAAAUAUGCAUAUUGUUCAGAUCAUCAUUCUGAACAACUUUUGUUCUUUAUUGCUUUUCAAAAUAUUUGUCGUUUUCGAGAUACAAGGGGUCAAAAAUUGAUGGUUUUGGCCCUUAAAAUCCCUUAUUACGUAACAUAUGACCUCAAUUUUUAUAUGAAUAGAUUUGGAUUGUUGAGAUGAACAUUUUUUGUUCUUUGACUUAUACCAAAAUAUUAACGAUUUUUGAGAUAUUUGAUCUAGACUUUGAGCCCUUCUAGAUCCCUAAUUGAAGGGGCUAGCCCCUAAAUCUUGAUAUUUUCGAAAAGAUCUCGUAAAUGUGCACAACUUUUGUUCUACAUGUCUUAACAAAAUAUUUGCAAGAAAAAAGAUAUUGGAGAUCAAAGGUCAAAAAUCGCCGAAAUGGGCGAAAAAUUUUGGCAUCCAUUUUUUCAGGUCCAGGCGAGCGUUUAGGCAAAUCGCCUCCGGUAAAAUCGAAUCCCCCACAAAUCUUCUAAAAUGUUUACUCUAUCUUGUGUAGAAAUUUCAAGACUCUAGCUUCAAAACUAACGGAGGAGAUGUGUGGACAACAAGGCCCUUCAAAAAGUCACUAAAAGAGAGAUAACUCCUGACCGGAAGUGACGUCAAGCACGAAAUUUGGCAAGCAAAGUCUCGGCACCAAAAGACAUCUUUCCUGAAAAUUUCGUGAAAAUCGAUCGAGAAAUGGCUGAGAAAAACGCGUGUACUACCAAGGAAAAUAAUAAUAAUAAUAAUGAAGAAGAAGAACGCGAACAAUAAUAGUAAGGUCUUCCGCAGGAGACGGAAGACCUUAAUAAUGAA